This 497-nucleotide ribosomal RNA is filed under the name uncultured bacterium. Its description in RNAcentral is "partial 16S ribosomal RNA". It matches the Rfam family "Bacterial small subunit ribosomal RNA", at positions 28 to 507 of the family's 1533-position model. The record is from RNAcentral.
GAUGAACGCUGGCGGCGUGCCUAAUACAUGCAAGUCGAGCGAACAGACGAGGAGCUUGCUCCUCUGACGUUAGCGGCGGACGGGUGAGUAACACGUGGAUAACCUACCUAUAAGACUGGGAUAACUUCGGGAAACCGGAGCUAAUACCGGAUAAUAUAUUCAACCGCAUGGUUCAAUAGUGAAAGACGGUUUUGCUGUCACUUAUAGAUGGAUCCGCGCCGCAUUAGCUAGUUGGUAAGGUAACGGCCUACCAAGGCAACGAUGCGUAGCCGACCUGAGAGGGUGAUCGGCCGCACUGGAACUGAGACGCAGUCCAGACUCCUACGGGAGGCAGCAGUAGGGAAGCGUCCGCAGUGGGCGAAAGCCUGACGGAGCAACACCGCGUGAGGGAUGAAGGUCUUCGGAUCGUAAAACUCUGUUAUUAGGGAAGAACAAAUGUGUAAGUAACUAUGCACGUCUUGACGGUACCUUAUCAGAAAGCCACGGCUAACUACGUG